Molecule: transfer RNA, 71 nt
Filed under: Dipodomys ordii (Ord's kangaroo rat)
Lineage: Eukaryota; Metazoa; Chordata; Mammalia; Rodentia; Heteromyidae
Rfam family: tRNA
About the family: Transfer RNA (tRNA) molecules are approximately 80 nucleotides in length. Their secondary structure includes four short double-helical elements and three loops (D, anti-codon, and T loops).
Source: Rfam by way of RNAcentral
GGGAAGGUGGCUCAGUGGUAGAGUGCUUGCCUUGCAUGCAUGAGGCCCUGGGUUCGAUUCUUCAGCACCCU